GGGGGCGGAUUUGGCCUGGUGGCUGACCCGGACUUCAAAUCCGGCCGUGAGGCGGCGAUCCCGUCUCAGGUGUGUUCGAUUCGCACACGUCCCCGCCA
RNAcentral lists this transfer RNA (98 nucleotides) under Bacillota bacterium. Its description in RNAcentral is "tRNA-Sec". It matches the Rfam family "Selenocysteine transfer RNA". The record is from RNAcentral. Lineage: Bacteria; Bacillati; Bacillota.